Molecule: ribosomal RNA, 2745 nt
Organism: Azospirillum sp. B510
Lineage: Bacteria; Pseudomonadati; Pseudomonadota; Alphaproteobacteria; Rhodospirillales; Azospirillaceae
Rfam family: Bacterial large subunit ribosomal RNA
Source: Rfam
GAUCAAGCGUCUGAAGGGCAUCUGGUGGAUGCCUUGGCACUGAGAGGCGAUGAAGGACGUAGCACGUUGCGAUAAGUCACGGGGAGCCGCGAGCAGGCAUUGAUCCGUGAAUUUCCGAAUGGGGCAACCCACCGCGCAAGCGGUAUCCCAUGCUGAAUAAAUAGGUAUGGGAAGCGAACCCGGCGAACUGAAACAUCUAAGUAGCCGGAGGAAAGGACAUCAACCGAGACUCCGCUAGUAGUGGCGAGCGAACGCGGACCAGGCCAGCCAUCUUGUCUACAUAACCGGAACCGUCUGGAAAGUCGGACCACAGUGGGUGAUAGUCCCGUAUGGAUAAACCGGACGAGAUGCACGAGUAGGGCGGGGCACGUGAAACCCUGUCUGAACAUGGGGGGACCACCCUCCAAGCCUAAGUACUCCUCAGUGACCGAUAGUGCACCAGUACCGUGAGGGAAAGGUGAAAAGCACCCCGACAAGGGGAGUGAAACAGUUCCUGAAACCGGAUGCCUACAAGCAGUCGGAGCCUCUUCAUGGGGUGACGGCGUACCUUUUGUAUAAUGGGUCAGCGACUUAGAGUAUGCAGCGAGCUUAAGCCGGUAGGUGGAGGCGCAGCGAAAGCGAGUCUGAAUAGGGCGCCCGAGUUGCAUGCUUUAGACCCGAAACCUGAUGAUCUAGCCAUGGGCAGGUUGAAGGUGCGGUAACACGCACUGGAGGACCGAACUCACGCCUGUUGAAAAAGUCGGAGAUGACCUGUGGCUAGGGGUGAAAGGCCAAUCAAAUCAGGAAAUAGCUGGUUCUCCGCGAAAGCUAUUUAGGUAGCGCGUCGGGUAUUGCCGCGGGGGGUAGAGCACUGGAUGGGCUAGGGGGGCGCGAGCCUUACCAAACCUAACCAAACUCCGAAUACCCGUGAGCAGAGCGCGGCAGACAGACGGUGGGUGCUAAGGUCCAUCGUCGAGAGGGAAACAGCCCAGACCGCCAGCUAAGGUCCCCAAAUCACGGCUAAGUGGGAAAGGAUGUGGGAAGGCCAUGACAACCAGGAGGUUGGCUUAGAAGCAGCCAUCCUUUAAAGAAAGCGUAAUAGCUCACUGGUCUAGUUAAGCCGGCCUGCGCCGAAAAUGUAUCGGGGCUCAAGCCGUGUACCGAAGCUGCGGAUGUGAUCUUUGAUCACGUGGUAGCGGAGCGUUCCGUAAGCCUGCGAAGGGUGUCCGUGAGGCCGCCUGGAGGUAUCGGAAGUGAGAAUGCUGACAUGAGUAGCGACAAACAGUGUGAGAAACACUGUCGCCGAAAGUCCAAGGGUUCCUGCGCAAGGUUAAUCCACGCAGGGUGAGCCGGCCCCUAAGGCGAGGCCGAAAGGCGUAGUCGAUGGGAACCACGUUAAUAUUCGUGGGCCUGGCGGAGGUGACGGAUGGGAAAGCGUGUACGAUCUUAUCGGAUUGAUCGUGCUGUGGACCUGUUCCAGGAAACAGCCCCGCCAUACAGACCGUACCCCAAACCGACACAGGUGGACUGGUAGAGUAUACCCAGGCGCUUGAGAGAAUGGUGUUGAAGGAACUCGGCAAAUUGCCCUCGUAACUUCGGAAGAAGAGGGCCCCGUUUUGGCGCAAGCCAAGGCGGGGGGCACAGACCAGGGGGUAGCGACUGUUUACUAAAAACACAGGGCUCUGCGAAGCCACACAAGGCGACGUAUAGGGUCUGACGCCUGCCCGGUGCCGGAAGGUUAAGAGGAGAGGUGCAAGCCUUGAAUUGAAGCCCCGGUAAACGGCGGCCGUAACUAUAACGGUCCUAAGGUAGCGAAAUUCCUUGUCGGGUAAGUUCCGACCUGCACGAAUGGCGUAACGACUUCCCCGCUGUCUCCAACACCAACUCAGCGAAAUUGAACUCUCCGUGAAGAUGCGGAGUUCCCGCGGUCAGACGGAAAGACCCCGUGCACCUUUACUACAGCUUUGCAGUGGUGCUAGGGACUUCAUGUGUAGGAUAGGUGGGAGGCUUGGAAGCCUGGGCGCCAGCCCGGGUGGAGCCAACCUUGAAAUACCACCCUUGAAGUCUCUGGCAUCUAACCGUGGCCCGUGAUCCGGGUCCGGGACCCUGCAUGGCGGGUAGUUUGACUGGGGCGGUCGCCUCCCAAAGUGUAACGGAGGCGCGCGAUGGUGGGCUCAGAGCGGUCGGAAAUCGCUCGUCGAGUGCAAUGGCAUAAGCCCGCCUGACUGCAAGACUGACAAGUCGAGCAGAGACGAAAGUCGGCCAUAGUGAUCCGGUGGCUCCACGUGGACGGGCCAUCGCUCAACGGAUAAAAGGUACGCCGGGGAUAACAGGCUGAUGACUCCCAAGAGUCCAUAUCGACGGAGUCGUUUGGCACCUCGAUGUCGGCUCAUCACAUCCUGGGGCUGGAGCAGGUCCCAAGGGUUCGGCUGUUCGCCGAUUAAAGUGGUACGUGAGCUGGGUUUAGAACGUCGUGAGACAGUUCGGUCCCUAUCUGCCGUGGGUGUCGGAGUUUUGCGAGGAUCUGUCCCUAGUACGAGAGGACCGGGAUGGACAUACCUCUGGUGCACCGGUUGUCACGCCAGUGGCAUGGCCGGGUAGCUAAGUAUGGACGGGAUAACCGCUGAAAGCAUCUAAGCGGGAAACCCACCUCUAAACCAGAGCUCCCUUGAGAGCCGUGACAGACCAUCACGUCGAUAGGAGGCAUGUGGAAGGGCGGCGACGCCUGAAGCUAAGCCUUACUAAUCGCUCGAUCGGCUUGAUCCC